CAUACCAUUUGCAAAAGCAGAGAACCAAGGGUAUUCAACUUGGGGUAUGUCCAGUCUGUUUUAGUAGAAACUUAUUCACAAACACUGGUCAAAAUUAGCGUUCAUAUUUCUUUUUGUGUGAAAAAAGCAAAAACAAAUAUGAACGCUAACUUUGGCCAGUGUUUGUGACUAAGUGGCUACUAAAAAAGACUGGACAUAUCCCACUUGCAAUGCAUUGGGUUGUCUACUUUUGCAAAUGGUAUG
Molecule: non-coding RNA, 243 nt
Organism: Pelobates cultripes (western spadefoot toad)
Lineage: Eukaryota; Metazoa; Chordata; Amphibia; Anura; Pelobatidae
Source: the annotation of a GenBank genome assembly